Transfer RNA from Acanthamoeba castellanii str. Neff, 71 nucleotides. It matches the Rfam family "tRNA". From Rfam's summary of the family: Transfer RNA (tRNA) molecules are approximately 80 nucleotides in length. Their secondary structure includes four short double-helical elements and three loops (D, anti-codon, and T loops). The record is from Rfam. Lineage: Eukaryota; Discosea; Longamoebia; Acanthamoebidae.
GCGUUGGUGGUAUAGUGGCAGCAUUGGUGCCUUCCAAGCACUAGACCCGGGUUCGAUUCCCGGUCAACGCA